AACGCUGGCGGCGUGCCUAAUACAUGCAAGUAGAACGCUGAAGGAGGAGCUUGCUCUUCUGGAUGAGUUGCGAACGGGUGAGUAACGCGUAGGUAACCUGCCUGGUAGCGGGGGAUAACUAUUGGAAACGAUAGCUAAUACCGCAUAAGAGUAGAUGUUGCAUGACAUUUGCUUAAAAGGUGCAAUUGCAUCACUACCAGAUGGACCUGCAUUGUAUUAGCUAGUUGGUGGGGUAACGGCUCACCAAGGCGACGAUACAUAGCCGACCUGAGAGGGUGAUCGGCCACACUGGGACUGAGACACGGCCCAGACUCCUACGGGAGGCAGCAGUAGGGAAUCUUCGGCAAUGGACGGAAGUCUGACCGAGCAACGCCGCGUGAGUGAAGAAGGUUUUCGGAUCGUAAAGCUCUGUUGUAAGAGAAGAACGAGUGUGAGGGUGGAAAGUUCACACUGUGACGGUAUCUUACCAGAAAGGGACGGCUAACUACGUGCCAGCAGCCGCGGUAAUACGUAGGUCCCGAGCGUUGUCCGGAUUUAUUGGGCGUAAAGCGAGCGCAGGCGGUUAGAUAAGUCUGAAGUUAAAGGCUGUGGCUUAACCAUAGUACGCUUUGGAAACUGUUUAACUUGAGUGCAAGAGGGGAGAGUGGAAUUCCAUGUGUAGCGGUGAAAUGCGUAGAUAUAUGGAGGAACACCGGUGGCGAAAGCGGCUCUCUGGCUUGUAACUGACGCUGAGGCUCGAA
This 740-nucleotide ribosomal RNA is filed under the name uncultured Streptococcus sp. RNAcentral describes it as "bacterial SSU rRNA". It matches the Rfam family "Bacterial small subunit ribosomal RNA", at positions 32 to 757 of the family's 1533-position model. The record is from RNAcentral. Lineage: Bacteria; Bacillati; Bacillota; Bacilli; Lactobacillales; Streptococcaceae.